ACAGAAGCUAGAAAGGCUGUCAUGGGGUGUCUCUCUCUCUCUCUCUCUCUCUCUCUCUCUCUCUCUCUCUCUCUCAUCAUCUUGCCAGGAGUAGCCACUGUGCAGUAAACAUUAAUGAUCGGAUAUAGUCUGCACUGACAGUACGGAUCCUUCUCUUCAGCUCUGGAAAGCUCCACCGCCACUUGAAUCCCCUCCUCAAGGGCCACUGCUUCAUCAAGGACUUCAGGAUAAUUGUGCCACUUAUGUCAAGCUUGGUUCAUUGCGAUGCAACCCCCAGCACUCCCUGGAAACUUAGGGCUCCCUAUGCGCAGGCAGCCUCCAGUUCUAGAAGGUAUGCCAAACAGCAGGGCGGCAGGAGAAGAAACCGGGUCCAAGAAGGCACUGCUGGGGGCGUGGAGGGCUGUUGGGGGAUGGAUGAAGGAAGACACAUGAAGCUCACAGAUGCUGCAGGCACACAGAAUUGCCACUGUGUGGCAGGUAAGGGCUCAGAGAUGCCAUGUACUCUGUGCAGCUUUUCAAAUGAGGGCACUUCUUAAAAGUUAUUCUCUGAGCCAGUUUCUCGGCAAGCAAACACAGAGAACUGGCUGGUGAAAUUACAAGGGCAUGUAGUGUUUGUGUUUUAUUCUAGUGCCGACAAACCUCUACUUGCACAGCUGAAUGCCCUGGGCAUACCAGGCUGUCGUCACAGGUAGCACUCUUUGUUCAGGGCACAUGAAUGAGUAAAGUGACUGAAGUCUCUAGAAUCCGCUUCCACCCAAAAGAACAAACAGGAUGAUAGCAAUGCAUCUCACUGACCUGUGAUGAUAAACAGCCAGUAUUUGACAGAGCCAAGCACAGCUACUGGUUUAGUAAGCAAAGCAAAGAGUCAAUCAUGAGUUUAAAGGCUUAUAAAUAAGGGUGGGGCGGGAGCUCAGUUAGGAAAGUCCUUGCUUUAUAAUCAGGUGCUAUGAGUUCAAUUCCAAGAACACAUGCUAAGAAUCUGGCAUGGUAGGCCACCCUAUCCCAGUGCUGGGAGGUAGAGGGGUGUCUGCCUGGGGCUCACCUGCCAACCAGUCAGAGCACUGAUCUCAGGGAGUGACCUUGUUGCAAAAACUAGGGUGGAUAGCACAUGAUAAAUAGCAUCCUGUAUUGUCAACUAGCCUCCACAUGGGUACACACAUGCAUACCCACAUAUACACACAUGUAUACAUAUACCGGGGGAAAAAGUCCCAUUAAUUAAACCCAUAGUGCCAAACCUAUAGGUUAGGUAAUGAUUCUGACAUAAACUCAUGGGUAAGAAGCUGACCCUAUGUGCUCAAAACUGAGAAGAGCCCAGAGAAAGCUAACUGUAUCCAUGUCUUAUUUAAAAACCGCCAUUUGAUGCCGACUCCACAGGAAGGUGUUUUGUAAAAUAUUAUCAUGGUAGGUGGCAUCGCUUAUCAGCUGUGGGAAAGGUGUGGUGGCUUAAAGCAUUUCCCUUUAUUGAAUUAUCAAAUAAUCAUUUAAAUGGUUUUCACACAUUCUGUUUUGCCAGGGAUACACCUACAAGCAUGCUUAUGAGAGAGAAGAGAAAAGACUUCUGGGAAUUUCUGCCUCUCCAGAUACAUUGCUUUUUCUCUUCCUUCUUUGAGGUGGUAGAGAUGGGAGCAGGCUUCCAGACCGGUUCUACUCAGUAACACAUUGCUUUGGUGGGAAAAAAAAAAAAAAAAAAAAAAAAAAAAACAAACCAAAAAACCAAAAAACCGUGUUCCCACAGGUGAGAGCAGAAGCCACACUUUCUUUCUAUAGGGAUAUUUUGGUUUAUCAUGGCUUUUUUACUUAAAUGAACCAUGAAUCACUUCUGCUGAUCUUGACAAGGUGAGAUGGAGACAUGGGCUUUACAAUUUGAAAAAUAACUAAACCUCGCUACAGCGAUGUUCAGACAUGUUCCUGCCUGCCAACCUGCUCCGUGCCACCCCUCCAUCCCCCCCCCCCCCCCCGUCACAUGCCACAGGAGGGGAAGGGACUCUCUUCUUUACCCGAUAAAUAGAAUGAAUCAAGCUUUCCCUGACACAGAUGAAGGAGGGCCAGCAGCUAAGCUACAGCAACAACCAAAAGUGACAUUUUUGUAAUCAUUCAAGGGAGAGAUAAUUUAUUACAAAUUUCCCAAGAGUGAAAGUAGAGAUAGUGAAAUCAUGCUCUAGUGAUUAUUGCAGAAAGCAAAAUUUGUAGACACUUCCAACUUGUCUUUGUUCAUUAGAGGUAAAAAAAAUAGUAAGUGGAAUUUAAGCAUCACAUACUGCACAAAACUUCUUAAAAUAUAGGCUUAAGAAAGAGAACAGUUCCAGAAAGGCAAGCAGUUAAUGAUUGGAGAUGAAUGAAUUUAAAAACAACAAAAAGCCAUUUGCUUUUCGUCCUGACACGUAAAUAAACUAUGGUGGACUCCACUAUAUUACGAGCAAAGGAGAUAUCAACCAACACGGAAUGCCAGGUCCUAGAAUCCUACUCAUUCACAAUACGAGGAACAGGCAAUUUGCCAAAGGGCAAAGGGCUCACAGUGGAGCGUUAUCUGCAGUAUGAGGAGUGUAUCCACUUCCUCAGAGAGCCUCCUUCUGCAUGCAGAAAGCAUCCUGCACCUAACAAAGACUUGUGGCUCAAAGGGAAACUGGUACUUGGCCUAUUUCGAAAUUACCUCUGAUGGGGAAUCCUGAGAGUUGUCCAGUCGACUCCCAGGGCACAAGUGGAAAAGAGCAAGUAUGUAGAACUCUGAUGACUCUUAAGAGAGCAGGACAUUGAACAAACUAAAAUAAUGUAAAAGGAAGUAGAUAGUGUCAAGACAAAAGAUGUAUCACUAAUUAUUAGAAGCUUUCAAUAUUCAAAUUAAUUUAUAGUAAUAGACUUCAUGCCAAGCACAAUCGAUUAGCAGUGCCUAGUAUUAUUUGAGGGAAAAUUUCAUAGAUCCCAGUCACUGGCUUGCUGAGGAAGAAUACGGUGGUUGGUUAGUAAUAUCUGUUAUGAGAACUGGCAGAGGGGACACAUAGUCACAGCUAUUUUAGCCAUCUGUUAGCUCUCACUCUAGCGAACCAGUCAAUUGAUGUCCCAUUCCAUUUCCAUGGUAAUAAAUGAAAGUUGAAAUUAACUGAUAAGUCAUCUCUAAGGCAAGAAGCUUAUUCAUUCAAGUUC
This 3141-nucleotide long non-coding RNA is filed under the name Mus musculus (house mouse). RNAcentral's name for it is "long non-coding RNA chr6:99191369-99194510". Lineage: Eukaryota; Metazoa; Chordata; Mammalia; Rodentia; Muridae. The record is from RNAcentral.